UACGGGAGGCAGCAGUGGGGAAUAUUGCACAAUGGGCGCAAGCCUGAUGCAGCCAUGCCGCGUGUAUGAAGAAGGCCUUCGGGUUGUAAAGUACUUUCAGCGGGGAGGAAGGCGAUGCGGUUAAUAACCGCGUCGAUUGACGUUACCCGCAGAAGAAGCACCGGCUAACUCCGUGCCAGCAGCCGCGGUAAUACGGAGGGUGCAAGCGUUAAUCGGAAUUACUGGGCGUAAAGCGCACGCAGGCGGUCUGUUAAGUCAGAUGUGAAAUCCCCGGGCUUAACCUGGGAACUGCAUUUUGAACUGGCAGGCUUGAGUCUUGUAGAGGGGGUAGAAUUCCAGGUGUAGCGGUGAAAUGCGUAGAGAUCUGGAGGAAUACCGGUGGCGAAGGCGGCCCCUGGGACAAAGCUGACGCUCAGGUGCGAAAGCGUGGGGAGCAAACAGGAUUAGGAUACC
Molecule: ribosomal RNA, 453 nt
Filed under: uncultured bacterium
Lineage: Bacteria
Description: bacterial SSU rRNA
Rfam family: Bacterial small subunit ribosomal RNA
Source: RNAcentral